AACGAGUAGGGCGAGCGUUAUUCAUCAUGACUAGGCGUAAAAUGCAUUAAGGCGGUUUAUUAAACUUUGAGUUAAAAUCAGGAAAUUAAAAUUUCACGAAUGCUCAUAGAACUGAUAAACUAGAGUUAAAUAAAGGAAAAGGUGAAUUUUAAAAGUAAAGAUAAAAUUUGUUAAUUUUUAAAGGACAUCCAAAGGCGAAGGCUCCUUUUCUAGGUAAUAACUGACGCUGAAAUUAUUUAAAGCGAAAGCAUGGUAUAUCGAACAUGG
Molecule: ribosomal RNA, 267 nt
Filed under: uncultured prokaryote
Description: partial 16S ribosomal RNA
Rfam family: Bacterial small subunit ribosomal RNA
Source: RNAcentral